UGGGGAAUAUUGCACAAUGGGCGCAAGCCUGAUGCAGCCAUGCCGCGUGUGUGAAGAAGGCCUUCGGGUUGUAAAGCACUUUUGGCAGGAAAGAAACGUCGCGGGUUAAUACCCCGCGAAACUGACGGUACCUGCAGAAUAAGCACCGGCUAACUACGUGCCAGCAGCCGCGGUAAUACGUAGGGUGCAAGCGUUAAUCGGAAUUACUGGGCGUAAAGCGUGCGCAGGCGGUUCGGAAAGAAAGAUGUGAAAUCCCAGAGCUUAACUUUGGAACUGCAUUUUUAACUACCGGGCUAGAGUGUGUCAGAGGGAGGUGGAAUUCCGCGUGUAGCAGUGAAAUGCGUAGAUAUGCGGAGGAACACCGAUGGCGAAGGCAGCCUCCUGGGAUAACACUGACGCUCAUGCACGAAAAGCGUGGGGAGCAAAACAGGAUUAGAUACCCUGGUAGUCCACGCCCUAAAACGAUGUCAAACUAGCUGUUGGGGCCUUCGGGCCUUGGUAGCGCAGCUAACGCGUGAAGUUGACCGCCU
Molecule: ribosomal RNA, 530 nt
Filed under: uncultured bacterium
Lineage: Bacteria
Description: partial 16S ribosomal RNA
Rfam family: Bacterial small subunit ribosomal RNA
Source: RNAcentral